Molecule: transfer RNA, 71 nt
Filed under: Loxodonta africana (African savanna elephant)
Lineage: Eukaryota; Metazoa; Chordata; Mammalia; Proboscidea; Elephantidae
Rfam family: tRNA
About the family: Transfer RNA (tRNA) molecules are approximately 80 nucleotides in length.
Source: Rfam by way of RNAcentral
UCUAUGAUGAUUCAGUGGUAAAAUUCUCACCUUCCGUGUGAGAGACCCAGGUUCGAUUCCCGGCCAAAGCA